RNAcentral lists this ribosomal RNA (503 nucleotides) under uncultured Oscillospiraceae bacterium. RNAcentral's name for it is "bacterial SSU rRNA". It matches the Rfam family "Bacterial small subunit ribosomal RNA", at positions 1 to 507 of the family's 1533-position model. Lineage: Bacteria; Bacillati; Bacillota; Clostridia; Eubacteriales; Oscillospiraceae. The record is from RNAcentral.
UAGAGUUUUGACUCCGGCUCACGGAGAACGCUGGCGGCGUGCCUAACACAUGCAAGUCGAACGAGAAUCUAUGGAAAGAGGGCUUCGGCCAAUUGAAGUAGAGGACAGUGGCGGACGGGUGAGUAACGCGUGAGCAACCUGCCUCGGAGUGGGGGACAACAGGGGGAAACCUCUGCUAAUACCGCAUAAUGUCAUUGGGUGGCAUCACUUAAUGACCAAAGAUUUAUUGCUCUGAGAUGGGCUCGCGUCUGAUUAGGUAGUUGGUGAGGUAACGGCUCACCAAGCCUACGAUCAGUAGCCGGGUUGAGAGACUGAACGGCCACAUUGGGACUGAGAUACGGCCCAGACUCCUACGGGAGGCAGCAGUGGGGAAUAUUGGGCAAUGGGCGAAAGCCUGACCCAGCAACGCCGCGUGAAGGAAGAAGGCUUUCGGGUUGUAAACUUCUUUUACCAGGGACGAAGGACGUGACGGUACCUGGAGAAAAGCUCCGGCUAACUACGUG